Molecule: ribosomal RNA, 493 nt
Filed under: uncultured eukaryote
Lineage: Eukaryota
Description: SSU rRNA
Rfam family: Eukaryotic small subunit ribosomal RNA
Source: RNAcentral
AACAACUCUUGGAUUUCUAAGAAGUGUAAUGAGGAUAAUUUACAACCCUUACCGAAAGCAAUUGGAGGGCAAGUCUGGUGCCAGCAGCCGCGGUAAUUCCAGCUCCAAUAGCGUAUAUUAAAGUUGUUGCAGUUAAAAAGCUCGUAGUUGAAGUUCUGAUUGUUCGGGCCUCGCGCUUUUAUAGCCGAGGAACCGACAGUCAUCCGCUUGCAAAUAUAUGUUCGCCUUUAACCGGGUGGCUAUAUGAGUAAGCAAUUUUACCUUGAGAAAAACAGAGUGUUCCAGGCAGGUUUGUCCGGAAUGCAUUAGCAUGGAAUAAUAGAAUAUGACUGAAGUCGAUUUAUUGGUUUAAGGCUUUAGUAAUGAUUAAUAGGAACAGUCGGGGGCAUUGGUACUUGACAGUCAGAGGUGAAAUUCUAGGAUUUGUCAAAGACUAACAAAUGCGAAAGCAUUUGCCAAAGGAUGUUUUCAUUAAUCAAGAACGAAAGUUAGG